This 14339-nucleotide long non-coding RNA is filed under the name Triticum aestivum (bread wheat). RNAcentral describes it as "long non-coding RNA (TAES_LNC005508)". Lineage: Eukaryota; Viridiplantae; Streptophyta; Magnoliopsida; Poales; Poaceae. The record is from RNAcentral.
AUUGGAGCUAAAGUUUUGUUGUUAUUUAGUGUGUUUUGUAUUAUAUCCAAUACCGUUCCAUACUUCCAUUUCUCCUGGAUGAUUAAGACGAUAUUUUUUCUAACUGAAUUAAUUUGUCCCCUAUUUCAGAAGUAACGCUCAAAAGCCUGAAUAGAAUUCCUUGGGGAAGGGUAGAUGUUAGCUUCAAGAGAAGUAGACAAUGGAUUUUUGCCCAUAGCACCAUUCAGGUAUGUUAUGAACCCCAUUACCUUGGUAAUAGUUUUCCUGGUGUUACUUAAUUAUCCCCUGGUAUAUUCUGUUGUCUCCAUACAUGUUAAUCUGAUAACAUAUACAAAGGCUGUGUAGGUAAUGGCAUAGCAGAUUUUAGUUUCAUGAUCUUACUUAAAUGUAGUUCUGGCGAUAGAUAGUGUCGUGGUUCUAGGUCUGACAGUAGAGUGGGGGGUAGGUAUAGAGAGGCAAGGUCCUAGCCAUGGAGAGGUUGUAAACAUAAGGGAUGUACGAGUUCAGGCCCUUCUCGGAGGAAGUAAAAGCCCUACGUCUCGAAGCCCGGAGGCGGUCGAGUGGAUUGUAUGUAUAUGAGUUACAGGGUGCCGAACCCUUCUGCCUGUGGAGGGGGGUGGCUUAUAUAGAGUGCGCCAGGACCCCAGCCAACCCACGUAAUGAAGGGUUUAAGGGACAUUAAGUCCGAGGCGUUACUGGUAACGUCCCACAUAAAAUGUCUUAACUACCAUAAAGUCUACUUAACUACAUGCCGUUGCAGUGCAGAGUGCCUUUUGACCUCCUGGUAGUCGAGUGAGUCUUCGUGGUCGAGUCCUUCAAGUCAGUCGAGUGAGUCCCUCGUUGGUCGACUGGAAAGUGACCUCUUCUAAGGGUGUCCUUGGGCAGGGUAUUUAGAUCAGGUCUGUGACCCUACCCUAGGUACAUGACUCCAUCAUUAGCCCCCGAAUGGAUUGAGGCUUCGAGUGAGGAAGGAGCUGAUGUUGUUUCCGAUUAACCUUUGCACACUGGUCGUGCGUUGUCCUGAAUCUAGAGAAUCUCUUCGUUGAUAGUGAGCAACUCGCCUUCAGUUGACUCGAUCCAUUCUUUUCUUUCGUCGAGUGAUCUUUCGGGCUUCGUCGAUUUCCGAGCGACGGAUCGCAGGAAAUCCCGCGCCUGACAGACUGAUCUGCCGUUAGCGGAUUCCGCGGGAUGCGAAAUUUGGGGAAACGCGCGAAGCGGAGCGGACUGCGGUGUUUGGAUGGGACGGGACAUAGACGCCUCGAUUCUCGCGCCGCUUUCUUCGCCACGUAUCUCGCCCGUGUAACAGUUCCAGGAUAUGAUUACAUCUGCCGGGUCCACCUGUCAUCCACUCGGAAGGGAUCUUAUAAAUGCGUCCGGCGGGGUUUUUUUGAACAGUGCUUCAGCAUUCUCUCUCUCUCUGCCUCCUUCGUCUCCGCCCAACGCGCUCGCUCUUGCCCCCGCAUCACUUCUCCUCACGCACCCCGCCGGAAGCCAUGGUUAAGGAGAAGACGGCGGCGCUGGAGCGCGCGAAGAAGGCGUCGGCGACGGAGAAGGCGAAGGGGAGAUCCACCAGCCGCGGUGGGUCUUCGUCCAGAUCCCGCCCGCCGAAAGGCUGGGUCCAGGGAGAUUGGAUCCAGUCGACCAUCACGGAGAAGGACCUCCUCGACAUGGCCAACGAGGGCUUGAUCCCCCAUGGAGCUGCGAGGCUUUCGGGGAAAGAAUGGCAGCCCCAGCCGGAAGAGGGUGAGUGCGUGCUUCUGGCUACCCAUGUCGACCGCGGAUUCUCUUUGCCGCCGAGCGUUUUCUUCCGUGGUUUCUUGAACUUUUUUGGAGCGCAACUCCACCACUUCACCCCGAAUUCUAUCGCCUAUCUUGCCGCGUUUGUGUCCAUGUGCGAGAGUAUUCUGGGCUGUCGACCGCACUGGGGCUUGUUCAAGCACAUAUUCACAUGUCGCUCUCAAACUGUGAAGAAGGCGAGUCCAGGCGACGAAAGAACCCGAGUGGUCCAAAUGUGUGGAGGUCUGGGGAUCCAGGUGAGAAACAAGAGCACCUUCCCAGCUAUGACAUUUCCCGAGUCAGUCAGAGGCUGGCAGUCGACCUGGUUGUACUGCCACGACGAGUCGACACCGGGGCAGUCGAGUGGGCUCCCUCCAUUUACCAUGGACCGAGUGAACAAGCCCUCCUCCCUGAAGCUGAUUCCGGAGGAGAAAGCUGACGUGAAGAUGUUGAUGGAGCGCGUAGUUCAGUUGGUUCGAUAGGGAGUGACGGGCAUGGAUCUCCUGGAAGUUUUCCUUAGGCGCCGAAUCCAGCCUCUUCAGUUCCGGAGCCACUGCAUGUGGUUGUACUGUGGGACUAAGGACGUGACUCGGGUUAACCCAGAAACAGUCGACGAUGCCACUCUGGAAAGGUGGAUGGCCGCUGUUACUGGGAACAAGGAUAACCCUCGCGGAGCCAGAAGGAUUCCUCCACUCGACUGCCACAGUGACCCAAACAAGGUAUGUCUGCUCCACUUCCCAUUGUAUUUUUGUCGUAUUUAUUUCUGUUUUCUCUGUCGAUCGGUCGACUAAUCUUUGUCUUGUUGUCCAUCAGGCCCUCACUGAACUGUACUCAAUGCCCAACGGAGCGCAGACUCCGACUGAGGAGGGAGAAGCGAGCGGGGGCGAGAGUCAGGAGGAGUGGGACUCGGACGCCGCCGAGGCCGAUGAUGAUGACGAUGACGAUGAUGAUGAUGAUGAUGAGGACGGCGAAGAGGAGGAGGAGGAGGAGGUCGCACCACCGCGCUCAGAAAGGCGGUCGAAACUUGUUCAUGACCCUGCGACUGAACGCGGCGAGGGGGUCGCGACUGUUACUCAGUCGACCAAGCGUCCCUGGAUCACCUCUCUGGCGCCGACUGAAAAGGCGCCGAAGCAGCCCAGGGCGGCCCCGUCGAAGCCGACCAAGCACCUGCCGAAGAUGAAGGUGUCCAUCCCCAUCAUAUCAGGGUAAUCAUAUUGCUUACGUCUUCUUGUUUUGUGUGAACUUUAUCUCUGGUUGGCGCUGGAGUUAGUCGACUGACUCUUUGGAGUUGCAGUGCUGCUACUUCUGAGACCUCAGCCCGGGCUGACGACCAUGUGAUGGAGGACGCAGCAACCUCAAAACCUGGGAUUAUACUCUUAACAUCGUUUCUAGUCGACUGACUCAUGAUUUCUAAUUUUGAUUUUUUUCUGUAGCUCCAUCCAAUGUUGUUAUCACUCUCCCUGAUGACGAUGAAGACGAGGAACCGCUGAAGCAUAGAAGGAGUAGGAAAACAUCUGCCAACAGGGUGCCCCAGAAUGUGACGGCGCCUGAGACUCUGGUUGCGGAGGAGGAGAACACCACUCGACACACUGUGUCCUUCGCAGAUCCACUGACGAGUGCUCAGCAGCCCUCCCUCUUCACGACGCACCACGUUCCAGAGGACCAAGCUGGCGCCGCGAAGGAGGCGAUACGCCAGGUAGGGAUCAUGAUGGAGCAGUUAAGGACCAUCCGGGAUGCGAGCCAGGCAGCUUACGACGCCAGUUCCGCCCUUCAAAGCAAUGUUCAGGUCAGUCGACCAUCGUCUGUUCUGUUAGGAUAUGCUAUCAAAAACUUUUCUUUCCAACAUAUACGGUAGUCACCCAUUGGAUGUGUCGAUUUAGACUCCGUGUUAGCGGGGGCACACUGAGUGCACCCGCUGGGUGUAGUCCCUAAGGCUAAGGUCGACUGCUGGCAGUCGGCCUUAGGCUUUAUAAUUUCAGUCUUUCCGUCAUUCGACUAUGGCGAAUGGAUUUCGAAAGCCGGUCGACUGGUCGACUCUGUCUUCAAUAGGAUUAGUGGGGGCACGCUGAGUGCACCCACUGGGUGUAGUCCCCGAGACUACGGUCGAAUGCUUGUAUUCAGCUGUAGUCUUAGAAACGUAUGAUUUUUCCUUUUUCACUCGGAAGUGAAUUAUAUUGGACAUUUAGUCGAUUGGUUCUUCGCAGAACUCCUGUGAUCUUGUGGCUCGCUACUCUGAGCUGGAAAACAAGCACAUUUAGCUCGAGCUGAAUUUGAAGCUGGUUCAGGAGAAUCUGACGAAGGCAAAGGAGGAGACCGAAGGUAUGUUUGGUGAGACCUUGACGACUGCUUUUUCCCUUCGUUUGUUUCAAAAUUUGAUCUUGCUGUAACUUGCAGGUAAGGUAAGGGAGGCCCAACAGAAAAAAGACCUUGAAUUAGCUGAGAAUAUCAAGCUUGCUGACGAGAAGUUAGCUUCAGUCACCAAGCUUAAACAAGACAAUACCAAUCUGAAAGCUGCUCUUGGGAUCGCCAACAAGGAAGUCAGUCGACUGAAAAUUGAUAAAGCUGCCCUGACCGACCAAGUCAGUAAGUUGACUGGGAAGAAAAAUGAUCUGGAGCCCUUCCUGAGUGGUCUUGCCAAGAAGCUGUUCCUUAUGCUUGAAGGUAAACCUCUAUGCUCGGUAUUCAUUUUCAAUCGUGGUUUUUCCAUUCGACCAUCGCCUUGACUCGGUGAUCGUCCUUGUAGAAUUUUGUCAAAACUUUGAAGAAGAAACUAGCCGGCUGGAACCAAACCUCGACCCCGUCAAUUCUCCGGUGAACGACGAAGUUGCCAUGAAUGUUUUCUGACUGGAGUCCCGUGUUGCAGCUGUCGUGGACUAUCUUGCAAGGCUGAAGGUCGCCACAUCUCGCAUCGACUCGACGCUCUGGCCCGGGGAGACACUUCAGAAUGACCUCGAGUCGCUGAUGGCUCGCUUGAACACGAUCCCUGGUCGAGUGCAGGAGUGGAAAAAGUCCUCGGCUCGGUGCGGUGCAGAUGUUGCUCUGUGUCUGGCCCGAGUUCACUGCAAAGAUGCGCGAGAAGAAAAGCUGGCGGCCCUCCGGGUGGCCAACACCAAGAAACACGACUUCAGGUCCUUUAUGGAAACUUUCCUUGCAGCUGCCACUCGGAUCGCGGAUGGAAUUGAUCUUGAUGAGUUUGUUGCACCUUCCAGCCCUCCACAGGAGGGGUAAAAAACUUCUUCUAAGCUCGACGCUUUAAAUUUGCCUCGGUAUGCCGAGUGGAGGUGUAACCGAUAAACUUUAACAGGUCUAGUGCCUGAGCACUUUCGGUUCCUUUUGGUAUCGAUCCCAACUUGAACUUGGUGUUUGAAUAAGAUUGCUUUUGGCUCGAAAAUGUCUUUGCAAGCCCAAAGCAAGACGCUUACUGUAGUCGACUUAUUCCUUAGUCCACUUAGGCGAGCACUGGGCUGCAGCUAAGCCCCCGAGUGAGAGGUUUGCUCUUUACUCGGUAGGAUUUUGAUAACUUAGGCGAGCAGAGGGCUGCAGCUAAGCCCCUGAGUGAGAGGUUUGCUCUUCACUCGGUAGGAUUUUUAUAUCUUAGGCGAGCACUGGGCUGCAGCUAAGCCCCCGAGUGAGAGGUUUGCUCUUCACUCGGUGGGAUUUUGAUAACUUAGGCGAGUACUUGGACUGCAGCUAAGCCCCCGAGUGAGAGGUUUGCUCUUCACUUGGUGGGAUUUUGAUAACUUAGGUGAGUACUUGGACUGCAGCUAAGCCUCCGAGUGGAAGUCUGGCUUACCAUUGUAAGAUUUUCAUAACUUAGGCGAGUACUUGGACUGCAGCUAAGCCUCCGAGUGGAAGUUUGGCUUACCACUCGGUAGGAUUUUCAUAACUUAGGCGAGUACUUGGACUGCAGCUAAGCCUCCGAGUGAGAGGUUUGCUCUUCACUCGGUAGGAUUUCGGUAACUUAGGCGAGUACUUGGACUGUAGCUAAGCCUCCGAGUGGAAGUCUGGCUUACCACUCGGUAGGAUUUUUGAUAACUUAGGCGAAAUGGAUUCGCAGCUAAGCCUUCGAGUGGGAGUCUGGCUCACCACUCGGUAGGAUUUUUUAUAACUUAGGCGAAACGGAUUCGCAGCUAAGCCUCCGAGUGGGAGUCUGGCUCACCACUCGGUAGGAUUUUUUACAAACUUAGGCAGAACGGAUUCGCGGCUAAGUCACCCACUGAGGGUGGAUUUUAUUGGACAAAAUAAAAAGUGACAAAAAUUAUGGAGGAACUAUGACACUAUUAUUUUGAGGUCCAUGAACUACAGAAGUACUUUAUUGCAACUCAUCCGAGUGAUAAAACUUAAGUGUAAAAUGGGCGGAGUAGUUCCGCGUUCCAAGCUCGGGGCUCGUCGAUAUUAUGCUCGACGUUGUAAAGACGGUACGCCCCGUUGUGAAGAACUUUGGUGACGAUGAAGGGUCCUUCCCAAGAAGGAGCAAGCUUGUGUUGUUUCUUCUGAUCCACUCGGAGAACUAAAUCUUCUUCUUGAAAGGCUCGACCUCUCACAUUUUUGGCGUGGAAACGACGCAAAUCUUGUUGAUAGAUGGUCGACCGGAUCAGAGCCAUCUCCCUUUCUUCCUCUAAAAGGUCGACUGCGUCCUGCCGCGCUUGUUCAGCUUCUGCUUCGUUGUAGAUUUCAACUCGAGGAGCAUUGUGGAGAAGAUCACUCGGCAAGACUGCUUCAGCUCCGUAGACCAAGAAGAAUGGAGUUCUUCCGGUCGACCGAUUAGGUGUGGUCCGCAGUCCCCAAAGCACUGAGGGAAGUUCGUCGAUCCAAGCUCCAGCUGCAUGCUUGAGAUCACGCAUCAGUCGGGGUUUCAAUCCCUUGAGAAUCAGGCCAUUGGCUCGCUCCGCUUGUCCAUUCGACUGCGGAUGGGCGACUGAAGCGUAGUCGACUCGUGUGCCUUGAGAGUUACAGAAAUCUCUGAAUUCCUCCGAGUCAAAGUUCGACCCAUUAUCCGUAAUGAUGCUGUGAGGGACUCCAUAUCUGAAUAUUAGUUCCCUGAUGAAGCUAACAGCAGUACCGGCGUCAAGGUUCUUGAUUGGUUUAGACUCAAUCCACUUGGUGAACUUGUCGACUGCCACCAGCACAUGCGUGAAGCCACUUCGCCCUGUUCUCAAAGGACCGACCAUGUCCAACCCCCAUACUGCGAAAGGCCAGACGAGUGGAAUGGUCUUCAGGGCUGAUGCAGGCUUGUGCGACAUAUUCGAGUAAAACUGACAUCCCUCGCACUUAUCUACUAUCUCCUUUGCCAUCUCAUUCGCCUUUGGCCAGUAAAAUCCGGCUCGGUAUGCUUUGGCCAUGAUAGUCCGAGAGGACGCGUGAUGACCGCAGGUCCCUGAGUGAAUAUCAUUAAGGAUGAUUCGACCUUCUUCUGGCGUUAUGCACUUCUGACCAACUCCAGUCGCGCUUUCUCUGUAUAACUGUCCUUUGAUUACGGUAAAGGCCUUAGAUCGACGGACGAUCUGUCGAGCCUCUUCCUCAUCCUCUGGGAGCUCUUUUCUCAGGAUAUAUGCGAUAUAUGGAACUGUCCAAUCGGGAAUGACCACCAAGAUCUUCAUAACCAAGUCGACUACUGCUGGGACUUCAACCUCAGUCGGAUCUGUGGCACUCUUGGGCUGUGGAGCUUCUUCGGUGAAAGGAUCUUCUUUGACUGACGGAGUGUGUAUAUGCUCCAAGAACACACCACUCGGAAUGGCUUCUCUCUUGGAACCUAUCUUUGCUAGAUCAUCAGCUGCUUGAUUUUUCAGUCGGGGUAUAUGAUGGAGCUCCAACCCCUCGGACUUUUUUUCCAGCUUCCUCACUGCACUGCAGUAUCCAGUCAUGGCUGGGCUUCUCACAUCCCACUCCUUCAUCACUUGUUUGACCACUAAAUCCGAGUCGCCAUAGACCAUCAAGCGACGGACGUCGAGUGAAAUGGCCAUGCGCAACCCAUAUAAGAGGGCCUCAUAUUCUGCCUCAUUGUUGGAGGAAUCAAAGUGAAUAUGGAGCACAUAUCUGAGCUUAUCUCCUCUGGGGGAAACCAGGACAACCCCAGCACCGGAACCAUUCAACAUCUUAGAGCCAUCAAAGAACAUGGUCCAAUGCUCCGAGUGAACUUCAGUCGGCUGCUGCUGUUCAAUCCACUCGGCGAGGAAAUCUGCUAUUGCCUGAGACUUAAUGGCUUUCUUUGCCUCAAACUUGAUAUCAAGGGGAAGAAGUUCAAUCGCCCAUUUAGCCACUCGACCAGUUGCGUCUCUGUUGUGCAAAAUCUCUGAUAGUGGAGCGUCGCUGACGACUGUGAUGGAGUGAUCAGAGAAAUAAUGAGCAACCUUCUUUGUGGUCAUGUAUAUUCCAUACACAAGCUUCUGAUAAUGAGGAUAUCUCUGCUUGGAUGGAGUCAAGACUUCAGACAAAUAAUACACUGGGCGCUGAACUUUGAGAGCUUUUCCUUCUUCUUCCCGCUCGACCGUAAGCACAGUACUGACGACUUGUCCUGUGGCUGCGAUAUAGAGCAACAGAGGCUCUUUGCUGAUUGGAGCAGCAAGCACCGGCUGGGUGGAGAGCAGAGCUUUUAGCUCGGCAAACGCUGCAUCAGCUUCUGGAGUCCACUCGAACUUGUCUGCCUUUUUCAUCAGUCGGUAAAGAGGCAAUGCCUUUUCACCGAGUCGUGAGAUGAAUCGACUUAAUGCGGCCAAGCAUCCAGUAAGCUUCUGGACAUCGUGCACUCGCACAGGGCGUUUCAUUCGGAGAAUAGUGCCGAUCUUCUUUGGAUUAGCGUCGAUUCCUCGUUCGGAAAUGAGAAAACCGAGUAACUUGCCACCCGGAACUCCAAAUGUGCACUUUGAUGGAUUGAGCUUGAUAUCAUACCUUCGGAGGUUGGCAAAUGUUUCGGCGAGGUCAGCGAGCAGGUCGGAAUCUUUUCGUGACUUGACGACGAUAUCAUCCAUGUACGCUUCCACAUUCCGAGUGAUUUGAGUGAGUAGACACUUCUGAAUCAUUCGCAUAAAUGUGCCUCCGGCAUUCUUGAGGCCGAAUGGCAUGAUGAUAUAGCAGAAGCACCCGAAUGGAGUGAUGAAAGCUGUUUUUACCUCGUCGGGUCCAUACAGACGGAUCUGGUGGUACCCGGAGUAGGCGUCUAGAAAAGACAGUCUCUCGCAUCCCGCGGUCGAGUCAACAAUUUGAUCUAUGCGAGGGAGAGGAAAAUGAUCUUUUGGGCAGGCCCGGUUGAUGUGCUUGAAAUCAAUGCACAUUCGGAGUGAUUUGUCCUUCUUAGGAACCAUGACGACAUUAGCAAGCCACUCGGAGUGGUAUAUCUCUCGGAUAAAUCCUGCCGCCAACAGUCGAGCCACUUCCUCACCAAUGGCUUUUCUCUUCUGGACGGCGGACCGCCGAAGAUGCUCUUUGACUGGUUUUGCAGAUGAGUCGACUCUUAGGCAAUGCUCAGCCAGUCCCCUGGGAACACCUGGCAUGUCAGCGGGCUUCAAUGCAAAAAUGUCCCAGUUCUCACGGAGGAACUGGAUGAGCGCUUCUUCCUAUUUCGGGUCGUGUGUUGUGGAGAUGUGGGUCGGAGCUGCAUCUGGGUCGGUCGGGUGAAUGUGAACAGGCUUUGUCUCACCGGACGAUUGAAAUGCAGACUCUGUGGCGGGUUUCUUGGAUCGCAGCAAGUCACUCGGAUCUGCGUUUUGCUUGUAUUCUUCGAACUCGAUCGCUGUCACCUGGGAAUCAGCAAUCUUUGAGCCUUUCUGGAAGCACUCUUCUGCCUUUUUCCGAUCACCGGUGACAGUGAUCACUCCUUUGGGGCCGGGCAUCUUCAAUUUGAGGUACACGUAACAUUGUCGAGCCAUGAACCGUGCAUAAGCUGGUCUCCCCAAAAUGGCAUGAUAUGCACUCUGAAAAUCCACGACCUCGAACGUCAACUUCUCUUUGCGAAAAUGUUUCGAAUCGCCAAACACCACGUCCAGAGCUAUUUGGCCGAGUGACUCGGCUUUCUUUCCUGGUAUAACUCCAUGAAAGCUCAUGUUACUGGUGCUCAGUCGGGACAUCGGAAUACCUAUUCCUUUCAGUGUGUCUGCAUACAGUAAAUUCAGCCCACUACCACCGUCCAUAAGCACUUUCGUCAGUCGAGUGCCUUCAACAACUGGAUCGACCACCAAAGCUUGCCUCCCAGGGGUGGCAAUAUGAGUCGGGUGAUCAGAUUGGUCGAAGGUGAUGGGUGUUUGGGACCAUUUCAGAUAAUUUGCUUUUGCUGGGGCAACCAUGUUUACCUCACGGUUAAUAACUUUCAAUCGACUCUUGCUCUCCACAUCUGCAAAGAUCAUCAGAGUAGAAUUGAUAUGCGGAUAUCCUUCCUCACUGUCCUCCUUGUCUUCGGCCUUGUCCGACUCCUUCUCCUUGUUAUUAGACUGUUUUCCCGGAAACUGCUGGAUCAGGAGUCGACAUUGGCGAGUGGUGUGCUUCGGCUAGAUGAUAUUCCCCUCUUCGUCUUUCUUCGUGUGGAUGUGACACGGCAUAUCCAUCACGUCGUUCCCUUCUUUAUCCUUUACCUUCUUAGGGUUCCAGGAUCCUUUUGGUUUCCCUUUAAACUUUCCCUGAGUCACGGCCAGAGCCUCUCCAGGAGCUGCCGGUUCAGCCUUCCGCUUCUGUUUCCGACUGGUGUUUCCCUUUUCUGACUGACUCGGCUUGUGUUUGCCGCUUCGGAGUCGGUCUUCUUCUUUGCCGUUGGCGUACUUGGUAGCAAUCUCCAUCAUCCGACUCAAGGUCAUGUCACCGGUUCGACCAAACUUCAAACUCAAUUCUCUGUUCUUGACGCCAUCUUUAAAGGCGCAGACUGCCUGAUGACCAGACACAUUCUCCAUAGUAUGGUGCAAAGUGAUCCAUCUCUGAAUAUACUCUCUGAGAGUCUCAUUGGUCUUCUGCACGCAGACUUGCAACUCCGUCAGUCCAGCCGGUCGCUUGCAAGUUCCUUCAAAUGUUCUGAUGAACACUCGUGACAGAUCUUCCCAAGUGUAAAUGCUGCUAGGAGGUAAUUGAGUCAACCAUGCCCUGGCAGAACCUUCCAGCAUGAGGGGCAAAUGCUUCAUGGCCACCUCGUCGUUCCCACCACCAAUCUGAACCGCCACUCGGUAGUCCUCAAGCCAAGUUUCAGGCUUAGACUCACCAGUGAACUUGCUGACUCCUGUUGCCAACCUGAAAUUGGGAGGGAUAACUGCGGCUCUGAUAGCUCUGCUGAAACAUUCAGGACCAGAAACAUGCACUCGACUGCUUGUGGGCGCAUCUCUGUCGAGUCCACCUCGAUGGGCUCUGUUCCGGUCGACCAAACCUUGCACGAUAAUGGAUCGCGCGUCGAAGCCUGGUUCUCUGGGGUCGACUGGAACUCUUCGCCCCGUACUGAGCUGACGUCUGUCAUCUUGCUGCCGAGGAGCGUAAGACCCACCCCUCAGAGGGGAAUUGGGCACUCGACGCCUAUCAUCUCGGUCGAGUCGGUCACCAUAUUGGUCUCGCCGAUUCUCGCGCCCUUCACGCCGUGGAGGCGAUCUGGGACUGUGAGCCGACUGAACCAUAUUCGCAGCGACGGAUCGACUGUGAAUUCUGUUGUGCGACUGCGACACGGCCGAAUUCUGAUCUCCUGCUGCCCGGAGCAGAUCCCUGAUCUGCAUCAAGCCUCUGCCAGCUUCCGACUGAGAGGGCUGGAUGGACUCUGCUAUACGGGUCGCAGUUGCCAAAUUCUGGAUUGGGGUUCGAUAUACCUGAGUCGGCGGGAAGAGUUGACGGCGGCUGGUGUCGGGAACUCGUUGCCGCGCGCGCUUGUCGAGUGCUCGCUGAAGAUUCUCCAGUCGAGUGCGUUCGGCCAAAUUGGCCAAACGUGCCUCCUCCAAGGCGUGAGCCUCGGGGGUUUCUUCUGCGAUGGGAGUACGCAGGACAUCCACGUUCCUGUGGCGAAGUUCUUCUCUUUGCAGAGAGUCGAGUGGCUCGGGCUGGUACUCUUCGUGGUCUCGUGCGGGGUCGCCUUCGUCGCCUGCUCCACCAUCACGAGCGAAGCCAGGGGGACUGCGGGGCUCGUCGACCAUCAUGAUUUCCGCCGCUGGAUCACUGCUAUCGCACUCGGAUGCGGUCUCUACGAAGCCAGUCGACAGAUCGAACAGGCCGUAGAGAGAUUCGUCGAGCUCGAUUGCCGCAACUUGGGUGGUGGCCGUCUGGCGAGCCACCGCGUGCCUCACCCACCGCUGAAUCCUCGACCGGCCCGAGCGCUUGCGCUGGCGGGAGACCGGGAGGGUGGUUGAUGGGGAUGUCAACCGAUACGGGGUCGACGGUUGCCGCAGCAGAACACCGCGGACACAUGCGCGAAAAUGCGUCGCACCGCGGACGGGGAGCGCAUCAACGUCGAGUGGAGCCUCCUGGAGCCAGGCGGAGUCGUCGGCGAUGAAGGUGAGAGCGCCGAGACGGAUCUCUCGACCCUCAACCAAAACGCCAGCAGCCACCAUGAUGCAAGUACUCGGAAGAAUCGCAACUUCUCCACAAAAUUGCUAAAAACACCUGCCCCACGGUGGGCGCCAACUGUCGUGGUUCUAGGUCUGACAGUAGAGUGGGGGGUAGGUAUAGAGAGGCAAGAUCCUAGCUAUAGAGAGGUUGUAAACACAAGGGAUGUACGAGUUCAGGCCCUUCUCGGAGGAAGUAAAAGCCCUACGUCUCGGAGCCCGGAGGCGGUCGAGUGGAUUGUAUGUAUAUGAGUUACAGGGUGCCGAACCCUUCUGCCUGUGGAGGGGGGUGGCUUAUAUAGAGUGCGCCAGGACCCCAGCCAUCCCACGUAAUGAAGGGUUUAAGGGACAUUAAGUCCGAGGCGUUACUGGUAACGUCCCACAUAAAGUGUCUUAACUAUCAUAAAGUCUACUUAACUACAAGCCGUUGCAGUGCAGAGUGUCUUUUGACCUCCUGGUAGUCGAGUGAGUCUUCGUGGUCGAGUCCUUCAAGUCAGUCGAGUGAGUCCCUCGUUGGUCGACUGGAAGGUGACCUCUUCUAAGGGUGUCUUUGGGCAGGGUAUUUAGAUCAGGUCUGUGACCCUACCCUAGAUACAUGACUCCAUCAGAUAGCUUUACACUAUCCGUCAUGUGCAUGGCUGUCGAAGUACAUCAUCGUUAUGAUGUGUAUGGUUUCUCUAUUUUCAGCCCUACUGCUCCUGAGCCCAAAUCCCAUGACCAUGCCCCCACCUCUCCUUUGUUGAAUGAAGGGAGUCUGGUUGCUAAAAAGUGAGUUUUCUUAAUCAGUAUGUAUGGCCCCUCUGCACAUGCUGUUUCUUCGUAUUUAUGAGGCCUUCAAGCUUUGUCAGUUUUCUGAUAGAUAUGGAAUUUUAAUUUGAUAGUCCCAACAACGAUGGGUACUGAUGGAGCUAUCUAUUAUUUAUUGUCAAUCUGUAAUACUUUUGUCAGCUUCUAGCAUGUCGUUGCUCUGCCAGAGUGCAAUUUUCUCUGCAUGGCAUACACCAGUUACCAUUAGUUGAUAUGUUUGUUGAAGUUUUAUUGCAAGUUAAAUAAAUGUGUAGUGUGGCAUACUGAUUAUUAUAGUUUGAUAAUGUCAGGUGCCGAUGGCUUUAGAUAUGUAAAUAAAAUAUGGUGAUUGUCACCGGUAUGUAGUGUGGCAUACUAAUCAAAUGACUAAGCAUUUAAUUAUUGUUCUGUUAUGUUAUUGAUUUCACCGGCUUUAUGUCGGCCGAUUAGUUAUGAAGGAUUCCACAUCAGCUAAUUUAGAUUAUGUUACUAGAGUAUUAGAAAAAGUUCCUGAUAUAUGUAUUUAGAGCAUUUGCUGAGAUUUGGUGCAAAAUAUUGAUGACCAGGCAUUAUACUGCGCAUAAGCACAAUUUUUUAGUUUUUCUUUUUAUUGUUGCAGUUGCUUUUCUAGCAAUAGCCAAAUAGUGUGACAUAACACUAUUCCAUUUUCACAGGCCACAACACAUCUUUACAGGUAAGUUUGUUCUCUAGAUAGUUCUCUUUCCAAGAUUUUCAUAUCAUAUUUGUUGUGGGAUCUGACUACUUUACCAUAUUUUCCUGGUGUGGACGAUGUUAUAGAGUGAGCUACCAUCACUUCUCAUUAUUGACUGUAAUCAAUAAAAGAUGGAUAUUUGUCGAAGCCAUUGUCGUGUCAUGUAAUUACCUGGAGAUCAGCUAUAUAGUUUUGUUCGGAUUGUAAAGUGGAAACGACAACUCCCGUGUGAUUGUCAUUUGAUUAUUUACUUCCUCAAGUAGUAUGGAUAUGGUGCUGCCAGGAUAUUAAGUAUAUUCAUGAAGUUGUAUAAACCACGUUCUACAAUUCACUUCUGUUAUGCAUAUUUACUUUCCAGUUUUAGGACUGAAAUCCAUCCAUUGUAAUGAACUUGGUUGUAUGGGCAUUACCUAUUUGACUUAGGCUUGCUUCAUCACAUAUAGACUGCUUUUCUUUUCCCCACUGCUUGUAUGACCUAAAACUAUCAUGUGUAUGAGGCAAGUUAUUAGAAAUGUUUCACAUUUUCUUACUUGCAAUACCGUGCUUGCCUAUUUCAGGUGUUCCAAGAC